RNAcentral lists this long non-coding RNA (214 nucleotides) under Lathyrus oleraceus (garden pea). RNAcentral's name for it is "Pisum sativum (pea) long non-coding RNA (PSAT_LNC035330)". Lineage: Eukaryota; Viridiplantae; Streptophyta; Magnoliopsida; Fabales; Fabaceae. The record is from RNAcentral.
ACAACAACCACCACCACCUUAUUACCAACAACAACCACCACCACCAUAUUACCAACAACAACAACCACAACACAUGUCCACCCCCCAACCAAAUCAACAAUACAUACCACAAACUCAAUCCCAAAUACCAUGAAGACUACCAACAACAAACUCAACAUUCCCACCACCAUCAACAGUCCCAACACCUACCACAAUAUCAAUCCCCCUACUUCCA